UACAAUGUUUUCUGUGUAUUUUAGUGAUGUAUUGUUAUUGAGUUGACAUUGAAUACCUAAAUCUUGUUUGCAGGGGCCUCAGGGGAUCCGAGGUGGCCCUGGGCCAGAGGGGCCCUGUGGGGCUGAUGGGGACAGUGGACUGGAUGGCCCUUCAGGUCUAUCAGGGCCGAUGGGUGCACCAGGUUUUACUGGACAAGUUGGUGCUCAGGGAGCUAAUGGCUCAAGGGGAGACAUGGGACCUGCUGGCAGUGUCGGUCCCAUAGGCCCACAGGUAUAUAUUUUAUUAGGUUAUGUAUGCUGUGGUUUUUCAACUUGCUGGAAAUGUUUAGACACUGUGUUUGGUUCCUUCUUUUUUCGAACAGGGGCCUCCAGGUUUAGACGGACAGAUGGGACCUCCAGGACUCAGAGGACCUCAAGUGAGUAGAGUUCAAGACAAGACUGUUAAUGGAGGCUUUGGCUUGUUGGAGUGUUCCCUCAUAUACUUAGCAGCCAGCAAAGAGCAGAAGGUUAAAGUCAACUUGUACAUCUUCACAGGGACAUCCAGGACUGAUGGGUGUUCCUGGACCUAAAGGGGAUCCUGUAAGUUAAUUCUCAGCAAGUUCAUCUUCUUCCACUUUUUUCUUUUGUUUUCUGAACCUCAAAAACGUGCACUGGAGAUCGCAUCAUUUUAGAUUUAAUUGCAAUAAUACUGAUAUUUUGAAGAUUUACAGGAAUGGUUUAGAAUGAUAGAGUACAGCCAACGAGUCAUACAAUAAAAUGUCAGUGUCAAACAGAUUUUACUCACGGGAUUAGUCAGAUUUAGGAAUCCAAACUUGUGCUCCAAGUGUCCUUCUUUGCCAUUUUUUGCCAGUUUAUACAAGAUGUAAGUAGCUGUAAUGAAAAUCAGAAUAUUGGUGCUUUACAUUUGAGGCACAGCCCCAUGCAUUACUGAGGGAGAAAUGAAUGUCAUAUGGAGACAAUUUGCAAACAAAAUGUGCAUUUAUGGGAGUAACUGCCGGGAUUAGCAAAAGAUUUUCUAACAACCACAAAAAAGUUCGAUUUUUCACAGGUGAAGUAACCCGCUAAGCCACUCUAGCUACAAGGUCAAUAUCAUUAAGAGAGCCUUGUUUCUUUUAUGCUGUGAAGACAAACUUUACCUCUCACCAUGAAUAAGUUGUUUUACUCAUACUAAUAUCUAAUUUUCAUUGUGGCUCAUUCAUUGCUAAUUCCCCAAAGUUGUAAAAAAUUGAUAACAAUAAAGAUGGAG
This 1246-nucleotide long non-coding RNA is filed under the name Sparus aurata (gilthead seabream). RNAcentral's name for it is "lncRNA (ENSSAUG00010026497.1)". The record is from RNAcentral. Lineage: Eukaryota; Metazoa; Chordata; Actinopteri; Spariformes; Sparidae.